Molecule: long non-coding RNA, 11779 nt
Organism: Anolis carolinensis (green anole)
Lineage: Eukaryota; Metazoa; Chordata; Lepidosauria; Squamata; Anolidae
Exons: 2
Source: RefSeq, a predicted model, not a curated record
AGGGCCGCGGGCGCGGACCAAUCGGAGACGAGGCCGGGGCGGGACCUGGCGGCGGCGGCGAGGGAGAGGGGGCGGAGGCGACCCCGGGCCUGGCAGGGGAGGGGGGAUCGGGCCUGGCCGGGCCCAGCCGGAGCCUCCUGCCGCCGCCACUGAGACAGACCCGGGGAGAGCGCGCCGGAGAGAGCGAGAAGAAGCGGGGAGAGCGCCCUCCGCCUCGCCCGGCCCCGCCCGGCCAUGGGCAACGCGGCCACGGCCAAGAAGGGCGGCGAGAUCGAGAGCGGCAGAUAUGGCAGGUUCGUGCUUCUAGACAGCUGGCCUUGUUAAAAUGCAAGUGAAGGAUACUUAAUGCAGGACAGACAGAUGGAUAUAACUUCCAGCCCCAAAAGAAGCUCCAGAACGCACCAGCAGGUUGGCCAGGCAGGAAAGUGGCUCUCAGUGGAAUUGCUACCUACAGAACAGCAUGUCCGAAGGUAGUUUGCCUAGAUGGAAGAGAAAGAGAGAGAGAGAGAGAGAGAGCUGCUUGGACUGCUUUGCCAGGAGAGGAAGGCAAGACUCUGUAGCUUCAGCAGACUUGCAGGACAGACUUGCUGGAGUGGGACUUGAGGAGAACUAUUUAAAACUCCCCCCCCCCCCCCCCCAAUACACACUUCUUAGUUCUUUUACCUAUUGCCUUGAGGAACUUGUAUUAAGCAGGCCUCGUGUCAAUUUAAUCUGGGUUUUCCUUGUGUCAAAACAGUCCGUACAAAUGAAGCCUUUAUGAUGUAGUCUUCUUGCCUCAUUGAGACAACCUUAUACAGCUGGGUUACAGACAAUGGUGUAUUCCAUUUUUAGCCCCCUCACAUUUUUGCAUCAUUACAAUAUUAAAAAAUAUUAUGGAAAAUAAACAUAAAGGAAAGAUGAGAAAGGCAAGUGGUACCUUUAGCCUGAUGAAACUAGAGCCCCUUCCACACAGUUAAAUAAAGUCCCACAUUAUCUGCUUUGAACUGAAAUAUAUGUAAGUAUGGGCUCAGAUAACCCAGUUCAAAGCAAAUAUGGGAUUUUCUGCCUUGAUAUUCUGGGAUAUAGGGCUGUGUGGAAGGGCCCUUAGAGUCUUGAAACACCUGAGAUGCUUCACAUGUCUUUUUCCUCUCCACUGGAUGCCUUUCAAACACCUGAUACCGUGUGUUGGAUUUAGUCUAGGCUGCUCAUUUUCUUUUCUUUUCUUUUUAAAGAGGAACACAGUGAUUGGGUGAUUGCAAGAAGCAAUUUGUAUGUGAUGGAACAGUAGAGCAGAAUAUUCAGCCCAGGCCUUUUAGGUGUCAGUUAUGCACUUUUAAACCAGGAAUUGCCUCUCAUUUUUCAAGAAUCCCUCAAAUUGAGAAGUGCACAUUGUAAGUGGAUGUGGAAACUGCAAAGCUAGGCCUUGGCACCUGAGACACCUUAGCCUCUUUGACUCCUGGAACAAAAGAGGCAAUAUGGGAAAUCUUUCUGAGCCCCCAGCUUCUUGGGGAUAUUGUCUUAGUUCUUGCUUCAGCAUGUCUUCAUAAAAUUAGGUGGAGUCCAGAUAUCCUGGUUAAACUUUCUUUAUUGGCUUUUUAAACCCUGUGAAUAACAGUCCAUUGGUUCCAUUGGCAGAUUAAAAUAGUCCCUUUUCCAAAAAGCUUCCUAUGCAACAGGGUUGUGGAAUGUUUUGUGAGCCAGAUAUUGUUGGACUGCGGCUUCUUCAUCUCUCAUCAUUGGCUCUGCUGGCCAGGGCAGAUAGGAGGUGCAGUCUGCUGAUAUCUGAAAGGCCACACAUCCCUUAUUUUUGACAUAGAAGAGGGUGGGCAAAGCACAGAACAUGUUCAAUACUUGCUGAGCCUCAUAAAUGAUUUUUUUGCUAUACAGUAUGUAUAUGCAUAUAUGAAUGAGUGAAUGAAUUACUGAUACCCAAAAAAGAAAGGAAAUUAGCAUAGAGAGAGAGAGAGAGGGGGGGGGGGGGAAAGCAAAGAGGGGGAAAUAACAUAAGAUUGUUAGGAUAUUUUCAAUAAGACUGACAUAUAAAUAGCUCUUUGGAGUCUAGAAGGAACAUAUUUGUGCAUAGAUAAAAUAGCAACAUAAUGUGGACAUUGAAUAAUAGGUAUUGCCUAUCUUUACAGUCCUGAAACAACACUUUUUGCUCAGGGGCACAAAAGAACUGCAGGUGAAGUUCCAAAUCACAGGAAUAAAUUUUAAAAAUACAUCAACACACACAAAUGUCCAGCCAAAGAACAACUACCACUGGACAUGCCCAUUUCAUGUCUCACAGUGACUAAAGCUAUUUAUUACCAUGGUACUGACAGAUCCAAAGUGCUCGUGCAUUUGCUGUUUUAGUCAUCAUUUUUAUUGCAAUCAGAGUUGUGAAUAACAUCUAGGAAUUUAGAGAAGACAUACUAAUAUCAAGAUGAGCCAGUAUUGUGGACACUUUGAGCGUCAAGGGUCUGAUUCAUAUUCUUCUUCUGAAUUUCAAAACAGUAUUUAUUUAUUAUUUGUUUGAGAAAUGAACAUCCCGCCUUUCUCUGAGCACAGACCCAAGGCAGCUAUAACAGAACAAAAGAACAUACAGUAUAAAAAUUAGAACAGCACAUAAAAUCAUAAAUAUUUGAAACAGGAAACACAGUUAAAAUCAUAUAAACAUUAAAACCAAGAUAAAAACACAGAGCUUCGCUAGAACUUCUUUGGGAUUGCCAUAACAAGAGAAAUCAAUUAUCUUCUUUAUUAUAAAUAAAUUGCAGAAAUCAGUAAGGUAUGCAGUUAUGAUUUUUUGUAUAGUUAUAGUUGUACUUGUGACAUAUAUGUCUAUAUGGAAUUUGGUACAUUUUUGUGAGGGGGGAAAAGCAUAGGUAAAUGAGAAGCAACAAACAGUAUAUUUAGAAAUAGCAAAUAUUUGAUUGGUAGCUUAAUAGGGUAUAAGAUACCCUUUCAACUCAAGCACUAGUUCUUUAAUGUUAAAAAGUUCCUAAUAUGCACAGGGAUCUUGAAUCACUUUCAUGAUCAAUUGACAGAAAGAAAUUGGUAGCAUAAGCUUGCACAAGAUAUUUAUUUCAAUUAUUUAUACCCCGCCCUUCUCACCCGAGGGGACUCAGGGCGGCUAAGUACCCAUUUUCUUAAGUGCUGUCAUUGUGAAAGGCUGAAAUGUUCAUUUUUUAAAAAGUUUCUUUUAGUGAAUCCAAAUGUUACACUGUGCACAGUUUCCCACAAAUGCAUGAAGUAUGAACAGUUGUGGCACUUAAGUUAUUUUGUUUGUAUAAGAACCUGAAUGACAAACCACUCCAUUGUGAUCACAUUGUUUAGGCAUGGAGUUUAUUAGAUCAAGAGGUGGAAAAGAAAGAAUGGUUGCUUCCUUUUAAUGAUGAGUCGGAUAGUUGUGAUUGAAUUCUGUAUGUCCUUCUGGGAUGUAGUAUCAUUGUUGAAUUCAUUAUACACACACACAAACACACACGUUAUUUAGCUUUGAUGGUUUAAUAGCCGUUUCCUAGCUUUGCGACCAAAUCUAUUUUAACAUACUAUGAAUGUGAAAUAUUAUUAAAGUUGCUGCCUGAAACAACAAUGUGCAGGAUCUGUCUAUUAGGUGAAAUAACUGCUGUUGGUAGAAAUAUAUUGAAUGGGCCCAAACUGCAGGGAGAAAUCCAGUUGGUUGUUGGACAUUCAAAUAGUAUAAAUGUAAACAUUAAACUCGGAAAUUGAGAGAGUUAAGAUCCAACCUGGGAUGGAACAGGGCUUAGAUUCUGGAUCUGCUUCCCUAAUAGAUAUAUAACAUUUUAUGUUUUCAGGCUCUCUGCUUUUGCAUUUGAGCAGCAGCAAUAGGAAGAACAAUGUUAGGCUUGUACCUACUUUUUGCUUUUUUUUUUUUUUUUUACAGAUGUGCCAUCUGACUCACAAAGAAUCAGUGCUGCUGUAUUUUUUUCACCCAAUUAGUCCUCUUCCUGUCCCUCCCAUUGUAAUUUUUGGCAGCAUUAAAAAGGCAAACAGAACUCGACUUCAAUUAAAGUGAGCAUGGGUUUAAUUAAACAAUUGAGAACAGAUACUGCAUGCUAAGCUUUUUAAGCAAUUAAAGAAAGCACUUUUUAAAUAUUAUUAUUGAAUGGGACAUUCAGGUGCUUGUGGUUUUGGCUGGUGGGAUAUUCUGUGCAAAAUGCCAAGUAUGGACUUUUCUGGAAAGUAGAUUGGUCAGAAAAACUCAGACCGUAACUGUCUUGAUACAGAAAUAGAACUUUUGCAUCUAUGUGAAUUUCACUAAAUCUUUCAUAACUGUUGUGCAUCUCCUUCUUCGGUGGUUUUAAAGUGGUAACUAAUAAAUACUAUUUGAUGUAGUUAAUAUGAUUUACCAGAAAGGUCCAUAUACUAUACUACAGUUGUAUAGUCCCUACCUUUCAUGGUCUGUGGUCACAAUGUAGACAAAUACUGUACAUAAAGAUUGAAUGUAUUCUGCCACCUUGCAUGGGGGCUUUCUACAACUGUAUAGCAGUUUCUAUUAAAUGGAUAAUGCAAUAACAAUAUUGCAAAUGUUAAAUGGAUUUUGGUAGUCCAGGCAGUAGGCAUGGGAAAAUGCAAAUAUGAAAUAGCCGUCCUGUAGACUUGAUUCUUAGAGCCAGCAUGGUGUAGUGCUUUGAGCAUUGGACUAUGACUCUGGAGUCCAGGGUUCAAUUGCUGGCUCAGCCAUGGAGCCUCAUUGGGUGACCUUGGGUGAAUCACACUCGACACCAUAAAACCCCAUGAAACCUUAGGAUCACCAUAAGUCACAAAUGACUUGAAGGCACAAAACAACAACUACAAGAUGUGAAUCUUAGUGGCUUUCUGUCCUUGAUCUGAAAUGUAGUCAUAUUUUCUUAUUGUUUAAAAUAUAUUCUCAAAAAUAAAAUGCUUUUCAAGAGUUAUUCCCCAAUAUUCCUUGAUGAGACACAUUUUAAUCUGGCAUCUGAAGAUCCCCACUGUUAUAUAUUGGGGAAAUUUCUAUAGAACUGGCCCCACGUCUGAUGAGUGGAUACUGAAAUUGAGUAAAUAAGAGCUUUGGUUAGAGAAUGGAGUGCACAAAAGACUAAUUACAACAGCUGGUGGUUUUUAAGAUUUGGUGGUCUCACACUUCGUUUUUUCUUUUUUGUCAGAAAGGUCUUUGUAUAGAUUAGUGCUUCUCAGAUUGUGUAAUGUGGAGGGCUGGCAUUUAUAUUUUCCUAACAUUCUUUUCUGAAUAUUCUCCAUGGACUGGUAGACCAAGGCUUGGAGACUGGUACUGGGGCUGUCUCUUCGGUAACACUGGUAUGGAUGACAAAAUGGCCGGAGGUGCUCUUGAUAUAAGAAAACACACAGUGAGUUCCACAGAGAACCACUGGCCCAUUAGUAAACUGAAUUCUCCCAAAUUAAAUCUCUGUACCAGCAUCUCAAAGAUCUAUAUCCAGUAUCACUGGUAGGAAAGCGAAAACUAGCUGAAAUGAGGGAUAAUCUCUUGCAGCAUUGUGGGGGCCCCCAAACAUCUCUGGAGGGUUUCAUUUGGGGUCUUCAUAGGGAGUUGCAACUAGGAAGGGAAAGGGAAGGACACUUCAUUAUGAUACUGGAUUUAGGCCAAAGACUGGGUGGCAUUAUGCAGAUAAUUGUAGAUGUGGCUAGAAAACAUAUGUCAUUUCUUUAAAAUAACUUCUUCAGGAUGUUCCCUGUUUUAUGCCAAAAUCAGGUGAGUUUUUCAGGUUUUAAGACAUUUUUGUUCCUUUGAUUUCCUUCUGUUUUAUGUGAGUUGGAUGGAAGGACAAAAACUCUGCCAGAGCUUGACUCCCCUUGUUCUUCCUCCAUCCAAGUUUCCAGAUUUCUUCUAGGCAAUACUGCUAUGCUUUGUCACUGCCUUUGCAGCUUGCGGGCUGGAAACCUGAUUUCGAAACACAGCCUGAUAUUUCUCAGGAUAGUGGCCUUUGCUGAAUAAACACUUUCUGUGGAUUUUCCCCAUCUCUAUCUAGCAAGACAAAUAGCGUAAGCAGUGGUGCAGUAUGUGAACACUUAGCAAUACAUUUCUUCUUUUCUCUCUGUAGCCUUACUUUAAUCUCCAUAUCUCCCCUCUCCCUGCACUUUCUGAAUUUCCUUGAGCUGAGACCUGUUUUCUAUUUUAUUCUAGCCCAGCCCUAUUAAGCAUUGCAGAACUAUAUAAAAUAGUUUCUUUGCCUGGAAGGUUGUGGAUACCUAAGCCAAACGCAUCAGUUCAUUUCAUAUAUUAACAAGGGAACAGCUGCUGGACGAUGACUAAAAUGUAAAGACAACCUGUUUCUGAAGAAAUGUGAUUUGCCCAUGAUCGUAAUCAAGCAUAAAACAAAAUAAUCUUCCUGUUCAAUGGAAAAUCUAUGCUAUGCCCUGGCUGCUGCUACUAUUAUGACAAAUACAGUUGCUUCUAAGAAGACUGCUUCCCAUUUGGGUGAAGAGCGCAAACACUGAGUCCCUGGAAAGCGGCUGACAUUUAGAAUAUUCUUUGCUUGGUGAUGGUUGUUGUUAAACUACCAAAUAUGCUAUCCUUCAAAAUGCUGAUAAGGUAUUUUUCAACAUUAUAAUUACAAACAAUAAAACUAGAGAGUAAUUAUAACUAACCACCAAAGCAAAUGCACAGCAGGUAGGAAUUACAAUACGUAGUAAAAUAAUUCCCUGAAGCUAGAGAAAGCAUUUUGAGUAGUGUACGUUUCCAAGUAAGACAUUGUCUCAGAAGAUGCAGACAAGAAGAAAUGCAAAGAACCCACUUAGGGUGUGUGUGUGUGUGUGGAUAUAUGCAGUGUAUGUGUAUAAUGCAGGCAUAGCUUUUUGAAAAAAACUGUUCUUGGUUUUAAAUUGCACUCAUCGUUGUGAUCAGGACACAGAAAUUCUGGCUCUUCUCGUAAAUUACUUAAUUCUAGUUUUGUGAUGUAAGUAACGUAUAGGAAAAGAGGUGGUAGAUAUUUGAAGGACUGUGGGGCCCCUUCCACACAGCUGAAUAAAACCUUACAUUAUCUGCUUGGAACUGAAAUAUAUGGCAGUGUAAACUCAGAUAACCCAGUUCAAAGCAGAUAUUGUGGGAUUUUCUGCCUUGAUAUUCUGGGUUAUACGGCUGUGUGGAAAGGCCCUGGAUGUAGUAAAAAUAUGAGCUCACAUGGACCGUGAAGAUAGGGAACCAGAAUACAAUUACAGUUCAGAGUGAGGUAACAGGAAGCUUGGUAAAACUAAGGAUGUGAUGUGUGCGACUGCAUGCACACGUUCUGCCUGAAGAGUUGGCACUAGUGUAUCUUCGUGCAAGAUUUGCACACAGUGUAAAGUGAACAUAGUUGUGUCCAACACAAUGGGAUGCAUCCAUAUAUAUCUUUCAUGUAUAACUUUUACAGGAAAACCACUACCGGUAUAUAUUCCUGGAUUUACUGUGGAAAUAGGAAACUGUGAAUAAAGGAGAACCUUAUUGAAAUGAAUGACUUCUUUCAGAAGUUACCAUUGAGUUUCAUUCUGUAGGACCUAGAACAUUCCUGGAGUAGUGUCCUCUAAGAUGAUUUUAGGCCCUCCAGCGAGAGAUUAUGGUAACUUCAGGCAGAAACAUAACAUAGAAUUGUACUUGAAGUCAAUAUGCCUAGGGAGUGUUAAGAAUAACUUGUAGGAUCAAUGAACCAUUGGUCUGAAUUUAUAGCAGCCCUCAGUUCAGUCCUAUGUGGAAUCUACAGAUGUUUUAAAACUGGUCUAUUUUCUCUUUCUCUUGUGCACAUUUUUACUUUUAUCCUAUGUUUCCUUUUUUAGCUGUUCACAAUGUUGCCCAUGUCCUUGUUUCCUGAACUGGGGUUAGAGAACAUGGGUUUCUUUCUGACAGGGAUUCUCUGCCCUUAGAAGCCAUGGGCCAUGCAGAUGUUUACUUCUUCCCAGAAGUAACUAUGUUUCUGAUUGUACUGCUUCUGAAAUGUUGACCAAGUUCUCAUAGAAUCCUAGAAUUGCAAGAAACCAGUAGGGGCAUUCUGUCCAAUCGGCCAUGCAGGAAAAGCACAGUGAAAACACCCCUGACAGAUGGCUAUCCAGCCUCUGCUUGAAAAUUUCUAGAGAAGUAAACUCCACCGCCCUCCAAAGCAGCAGGAUAUUCCACUGCCAAACAGCUCUUACCAUCAGGAAGGUCUUAUUAAUGUUUAGGUGGAAAUUCUUUUCCUACAAUUUCAGUCUAUUGUUCCAUUGUGCCUAAUCCCCAGAGCAACAGAAAACAAGCUUGUUCCCUCCUCAAUAUGACAUCCAUUCCAAUAUUUAAGCACGGCCAUCUUUCUCUUGAUAUAAUAAUAAAAUACUCAAUGGACAUCAUUGCAACACUUUCUGAAAUCCUGCAGCCAUUUUAGUCACCAGGUAGGAAGUCAAAAAACUAGUCCUCACGGUCUCAGUGUCAAGGAGGCAACAUAAGCUUUGGAUCCCGGCCCAGUUAGUGGCCUCUGGGGAAGGUGGUGUUCUGCUUACCUCCCCUGAUGAUUUGAGAACAACUCAUGGGUCAAUUUGUUCCUGCUCUACUUUGUUAGAAGAGCGCUUUAUAUCCAAUCUGUUCCUGAAAGAGGAUUCUUUUACCAUUUAAAAGUGAUUCUGUUCUUGAACAAGCUGCCAAGAAACUUCCUACCAUCAAAACUCAUCCUCUUUGAUACAAAGAGUCACUUGACCAUGCCCAGGAGGGCUUCCAGUUUAUCCUCUCUUAUGACAGUGCUUCAUGCCUUGCGGAAAACAGCUUUUGAAGUUGCUCUGGUGGUUAUGUACCAGCCUACAUGUACUUAAAAAUGCAUAUGAAGACUGAAGGCAUUCAUAAAGGUCAUCUAAAAAUCCUGAUCACGUCAUUAAGUUAAACUUACGAUGUAGCUUGUAGUAUCGCUAAAUCCCUUCUUUGAUUCUUUUUAGCUCUGAUGGCAAAGUGAUUGCAUUCUGCUGUAAGAGAUUCAGAUUCGAACAACAACAACAACUUGUAUUUUGUCCCAUCUCCCCUCUGGGGACUUAGGGCGGCUUGUGCAUGGGUCAUAAAGGUUGCUGGAAGUCUUAGGCAAGUUAGUUUUUUUGUUUACAAAACCACCUCUGGGGUUGGUUUGUUUUUGAAACUUAUUGUUUAUUUUAUAAACAGCUAAGGGGAAUGUCUCAUGGGCUUAGAUGUCUUUAAUGCCCAAGGCAUGGGAAAUAAGAUGAGAUGGAACUCCUAGCAUAACUAAACUGUUACGCUGUAAUAGGCAUAACUGAAACCUGGUGGGACGAGUCCUAUGAUUGGAAUGUAGCAGUGAAGGGGUAUAAGCUAUUUCAGAGAAAUAGACCAAACAGGAGAGGGAGUGGAGUAGCAUUAUAUGUUAAAAAUAUGUACACCUGUGAAGAGAUACAAGACCUCAAUCUUGGAAACCAGGUUGAAAGCAUCUGGGUAAGAAUUAAGGGAACAAAGACUGAAAAUAAUUGUUGUGGGGGUCUACUGCAGAUCUCAAAGCCAGAUAGAAGAAUUGGAUGAAGCCUUCCUUGACCAGAUGACCAAACAUGCAGUAAAAAAAGAUAUAUAGUAGUAAUGUGGGAUUUCAACUACUCUGAUAUUUGUUGGAAAACCAACUUUGCCAAGAGUAAAAAGUCCAGCCAAUUCCUCACUUGCCUUUCAGACAGUUUUAUUGUCCAGAAGGUAGAAGAGACAACAAGGGGAUCCUCUAUUCUGGAUCUGAUCCUAACCAACACUGAGGACCUGGUCAAUGGAAUGGAAGUGGUGGGAUCCUUAGGUGGGAGUGACUAUGUGCUCCUAGAAUUUGUGAUACAAAGGAAGGGUGAAACUAGGCAGAAAAAAUGAAAUGCAAAGAUACCAAAUGGGUGAUGCCUGGCUUGAUAACAGUCCAUAUGAGAAAGAUCUUGGCAUCUUUGUGGACAACAAGUUGAACAUGAGCCAACAUUGUGAUGCAGCAACUUAAAAAGCCAGUGGGAUUUUGGCCUGCAUCAAAAGGAGUAUAGUGUUUAGUUUGAGGGAGAUCAUGGUGCCUUUGUAUUCUGCUUUGGUUAGACCUCACCUGAAAUACUGUGUCCCAAUUCUUGACACCACAGCUCAAAAGAAAUAUUGACAAGCUGUAAUGUGUCCAAGGGAGGGCAACUAAAAUGAUCAAAAGUCUGGAGACCAUGAAGUCCUAUGAGGAGUGGCUUAAAGAGUUGGGUAUCUUUAGCCUGCAGAAGAGAAGGUUGAGAGGAAAUAUGAUAGCUAUAUAUAAAUAUGUGAAAGGGUGUCAUAAGGAAGAGGGAGCAGACUUGUUUUCUGCUGCCCAUGAAACUAGGAUUAGGAGCAAUGGGUUCCGAUUACAGGAAAGGAGAUUCCACCUAAAUAUUAGGAAGAACUUUCUGACAGUACAAGCUGCUCAACAGUGGAACACUUUGCAUUGGAAUGUGAUGGAAGCUCCUUCUUUGGAAACUUUUAAACAGAGGCUGGAUGGCCAUCAGGGAUACUUUGUGCUUUUCCUGCAUGGCAGAGGGUUGGACUAGAUGGCCCACGUGGUCUCUUCCAACUCUAUUAUUCUAUGAUUCGUUUACUGAAUACCCUGCCUUGUUUAUUAAGACAGCUCACAACAUUUAUUAAAACAAAAUAUAGUUAACAAUCAUAGUAGUCCAAAUAAUAUUAAAAAGUAAAUACAGUAGGACCUCCAUAUUUACAGGGGAUACAUUCUUGGACUUCACAUGGAUAUGUGGAAUUGUGGAUAAUAGUGAACCCUAUUGAAAUGAAGGACUUCUGACACAAGAAUACCAUAGAGUCAUGCUGGAUGACUUAGAAGAUGCCUAGAAAAUCAUUAUUUAAAUUUUAAGGCCAAGACCUUGAACACUGUUUCCAUUCUAAAUAUCUUGGUGUCACCUUAGAUCGAACACUAACAUAUAGGAAACACGUUAUGAACACCAAGCACAAAGUAGCUGCAUGCAUUUAACAUCCUGCGGAAACCUAUUGGCAGUGCAUGGGAUGCAGACCCAGAAUUAAUAAGAACAGAACUAAUAAUCUGAACCCUUGGCUUCAAAAUGCUCAUUUGUUCUUCUUUGGUAUGAAUCCCAUGCUGCUGUCCUGUGGUCGUGGUACCGUAGUACCUCAUACUAGCCACCUAGUCUGUAAUCAGUGCUUUGGUCUAGUAAUAAAAAACAGAUUUUGCUUGAAUCCUUCCUGAUUUAUCAUUUGCUUUAAGAAGGCUUGAUCGUCUUUUAAAAUGUUAAUUAUUCUUCCAGAAAAUAAACAGACAUUCCUGGAAUGCUUUUUUAUGACACCCUAGUUUUUUAAUUGUAAAUGCAAUGAGGGAAGUCUUAACUUUCAGCAAUUUGUAGCAUUGAUGGCUUGGCUGCUUUCUCAAAUGCUAUCUCUUUUCUGUAAAGUUAAUGUCCAGUUAGUAUAGUGCCUUGUUUUAGUGUCUGUGUGAACUCCUUCUUGGCCACUGACCCCUAGCAAUUCUGUGUAACUGUAGCUCACAAUAUGAGGUCAAGCAAGGAGGUUGCUCCGAGUUCCCAGCCCAUCUUUCUGAAUUCUACCAUGUCCUUUAACACAGUGGACAGGUGAGGGAGGAAAUUCCUGUGUGCUAGGUAGUAUGCUAGGAAUGAAGAGUAGAAGGCUAGGAAUCUACAGAACAGGUCAGUUUUUUCUCCAGCCAUAAUGCAUCAAAGGCUAGGAAAUUAAUGACAGUGGAAGAUUUUCAGGCAAUUUUAGUCAGGAGAAGAAACUUAGGAGUUUCACCUUCUGCUGGCCUAAUGUUCAAGAGUAAAGCUGAAUUGUGAACCAUAUUAUUAAAUACUUUGUAAAGCUACCUCUCAAAAGUGGUGUACAGAAGUUAAAAUGUAAUAAUAAAACAUUACAACCACAAUA